GACAAAGUCUUGCUCUGUGGCCCAGGCUGAAGUGCAGCGUGUGAUCACAGCUUACAGGUUUACAAAAUUGAUCUUAGAGUCUUUGCUGGCAUCCCCAUGAUACCUUUCUACAGUGGAACAGAGUUUACAUCGACUCCGGGGUAUUAGCACAUGAUGAAGGCAUGCUCUGCCACUGGGCCAGAAGAAAGAUGACUCCCUGACCUUUCCACUCCUGGAGCAUGCCUUAAUAUGCAGACCAACGAAUCCAAGGCCAUAUCUUCUCUAUCUGGCCAAUACACCUCAGGAGGCAAUAUUUCUCUGCCUUAAUCCUGCCAGGCCAGGUACCAGGCAACUAGGGAUCCUCCCAAUAGCUUAGAGUCAGUUGAAAUUCAAACUAGCCCAUCCUAAACUAUCCUGUUGUGACACCUUUCCCUGAGAAAGCCCAAUAAAUGUUCGGCCUAGGCUUUCUCCUUGCUCCUAUUUUCUGCCUCUUAACUACACUGAGGCCUCCCCAUGUGGCCUUGCAUAGUGUGCUGUGCCUCCUGUUUCUAGAAUCUGUAAGUAUAAUAAACUUCUGUU
RNAcentral lists this long non-coding RNA (558 nucleotides) under Homo sapiens (human). Its description in RNAcentral is "HSALNT0061795". Lineage: Eukaryota; Metazoa; Chordata; Mammalia; Primates; Hominidae. The record is from RNAcentral.